This 1992-nucleotide ribosomal RNA is filed under the name Salmonella enterica subsp. enterica serovar Oranienburg. RNAcentral describes it as "partial 23S ribosomal RNA". It matches the Rfam family "Bacterial large subunit ribosomal RNA", at positions 911 to 2802 of the family's 2925-position model. The record is from RNAcentral. Lineage: Bacteria; Pseudomonadati; Pseudomonadota; Gammaproteobacteria; Enterobacterales; Enterobacteriaceae.
UGUUUCGGCUAGGGGGCCAUCCCGGCUUACCAACCCGAUGCAAACUGCGAAUACCGGAGAAUGUUAUCACGGGAGACACACGGCGGGUGCUAACGUCCGUCGUGAAGAGGGAAACAACCCAGACCGCCAGCUAAGGUCCCAAAGUCAUGGUUAAGUGGGAAACGAUGUGGGAAGGCCCAGACAGCCAGGAUGUUGGCUUAGAAGCAGCCAUCAUUUAAAGAAAGCGUAAUAGCUCACUGGUCGAGUCGGCCUGCGCGGAAGAUGUAACGGGGCUAAACCAUGCACCGAAGCUGCGGCAGCGAACGUAUCACUUAAAGCGAUUCAGCGGGUUACGAUUGACGGAGCGAAGCGACGUCAAAGCGUAUACAAAGUCGAGUCGGUUUAAGGAUACGUUCGUUGGGUAGGGGAGCGUUCUGUAAGCCUGCGAAGGUGGCCUGUGAGGGUUGCUGGAGGUAUCAGAAGUGCGAAUGCUGACAUAAGUAACGAUAAAGCGGGUGAAAAGCCCGCUCGCCGGAAGACCAAGGGUUCCUGUCCAACGUUAAUCGGGGCAGGGUGAGUCGACCCCUAAGGCGAGGCCGAAAGGCGUAGUCGAUGGGAAACGGGUUAAUAUUCCCGUACUUGGUGUUACUGCGAAGGGGGGACGGAGAAGGCUAUGUUGGCCGGGCGACGGUUGUCCCGGUUUAAGCGUGUAGGUGUGUGUUCCAGGUAAAUCCGGUUCACUUUAACACUGAGGCGUGACGACGAGGCACUACGGUGCUGAAGCAACAAAUGCCCUGCUUCCAGGAAAAGCCUCUAAGCAUCAGGUAACAUCAAAUCGUACCCCAAACCGACACAGGUGGUCAGGUAGAGAAUACCAAGGCGCUUGAGAGAACUCGGGUGAAGGAACUAGGCAAAAUGGUGCCGUAACUUCGGGAGAAGGCACGCUGACAUGUAGGUGAAGUGAUUUACUCAUGGAGCUGAAGUCAGUCGAAGAUACCAGCUGGCUGCAACUGUUUAUUAAAAACACAGCACUGUGCAAACACGAAAGUGGACGUAUACGGUGUGACGCCUGCCCGGUGCCGGAAGGUUAAUUGAUGGGGUCAGCGCAAGCGAAGCUCCUGAUCGAAGCCCCGGUAAACGGCGGCCGUAACUAUAACGGUCCUAAGGUAGCGAAAUUCCUUGUCGGGUAAGUUCCGACCUGCACGAAUGGCGUAAUGAUGGCCAGGCUGUCUCCACCCGAGACUCAGUGAAAUUGAACUCGCUGUGAAGAUGCAGUGUACCCGCGGCAAGACGGAAAGACCCCGUGAACCUUUACUAUAGCUUGACACUGAACAUUGAGCCUUGAUGUGUAGGAUAGGUGGGAGGCUUUGAAGUGUGGACGCCAGUCUGCAUGGAGCCGACCUUGAAAUACCACCCUUUAAUGUUUGAUGUUCUAACGUGGACCCGUGAUCCGGGUUGCGGACAGUGUCUGGUGGGUAGUUUGACUGGGGCGGUCUCCUCCUAAAGAGUAACGGAGGAGCACGAAGGUUGGCUAAUCCUGGUCGGACAUCAGGAGGUUAGUGCAAUGGCAUAAGCCAGCUUGACUGCGAGCGUGACGGCGCGAGCAGGUGCGAAAGCAGGUCAUAGUGAUCCGGUGGUUCUGAAUGGAAGGGCCAUCGCUCAACGGAUAAAAGGUACUCCGGGGAUAACAGGCUGAUACCGCCCAAGAGUUCAUAUCGACGGCGGUGUUUGGCACCUCGAUGUCGGCUCAUCACAUCCUGGGGCUGAAGUAGGUCCCAAGGGUAUGGCUGUUCGCCAUUUAAAGUGGUACGCGAGCUGGGUUUAGAACGUCGUGAGACAGUUCGGUCCCUAUCUGCCGUGGGCGCUGGAGAACUGAGGGGGGCUGCUCCUAGUACGAGAGGACCGGAGUGGACGCAUCACUGGUGUUCGGGUUGUCAUGCCAAUGGCACUGCCCGGUAGCUAAAUGCGGAAGAGAUAAGUGCUGAAAGCAUCUAAGCACGAAACUUGCCCCGA